Acanthochromis polyacanthus (spiny chromis) is the source of this 873-nucleotide long non-coding RNA. RefSeq lists it as uncharacterized. NCBI's taxonomy places the organism in Eukaryota, Metazoa, Chordata, Actinopteri, Pomacentridae. The record is from RefSeq and is a predicted model, not a curated record. The transcript is spliced from 3 exons.
UCUCACCUGGUCAACAUUUGGAUUGGAGUUACUCUAAAGCAGGUGUGUCAAAGUCAGUUCCUGGAGGUCAACUAUCUUCUAUGUUCUAGAUCUUUCCUUCUUCCAACACACCUGAUUCAAAUAAUCAGCUCAUCAUCAAGCUCAGCAGAAGCCUGAUAACGAGCCUGAUCAUUUGAAUCAGGUGUGUUGGAACUGAGUUUGACACCCCUGCUGUAAAGGCUGUGUGAAGCUGAGAGUUUGAACUGAUUUUCAGGCUGAAAUGCAGCUCCUGUGGAGGUAUUGGGUGUGAAGGUGGGUGUGGCACACCAAUGAGUCUGUGUGUGUGCGUGCGAACAUGCCUGCGCGUGUGUAAGGGCGGUUGCUAUGGGCCCCCAUAGCAACGGUGCCUGCCACAGACAGCAAAAAAGUGCUUCUCAGCAGCAGCGCGCAACGUCUCGUUCUGGCGCUAACUGUGGGCUAACCGUGAAUGGUAGCUGAAAACUAAAAUGACCGUGAGCGAGAGGAAGGCCGUGGCUUUCCAUAAAUGUAAUUAUUUUCCAAAUAUUGUGAGAAAUGACCGAGUUACAGCGAUUUAAAAAACACUGUCCCUCCAUGAGGCAGAUGAUUCAGUUUACAUUGGUUCCUAUGGAGAGAACGGUGCGACUUUGGUCUAAACUGCUGCCUGCCAUUUCACUUCAGAAAGAGCUAGGUCUUCAAACUUGGAUUCAUUUGAAUCCCAGGAAAAUUGUUUACAAUCUGACCAAAUUUCAUUCCCCUAACAUUUAUGGUUUGGUCGUGAGGGCGAUGCAAUCGGGAAAUUUUCAGGCGGAUUUUUGACCUCUCCUCCACUCUACCAACUGACAUGCCGCACUCUAACCAGAGCAAAUUUUGAAA